UACGUAGGGUGCAAGCGUUGUCCGGAAUUAUUGGGCGUAAAGAGCUCGUAGGCGGUCUGUCGCGUCGGCUGUGAAAACUCGGGGCUCAACUCCGAGCUUGCAGUCGAUACGGGCAGGCUAGAGUUCGGGAGAGGAGAGUGGAAUUCCCAGUGUAGAGGUGAAAUUCGUAGAUAUUGGGAAGAACACCGGUGGCGAAGGCGGCUCUCUGGACCGAUACUGACGCUGAGGCGCGAAAGCGUGGGGAGCAAACAGG
RNAcentral lists this ribosomal RNA (253 nucleotides) under uncultured bacterium. RNAcentral's name for it is "partial 16S ribosomal RNA". It matches the Rfam family "Bacterial small subunit ribosomal RNA", at positions 524 to 776 of the family's 1533-position model. The record is from RNAcentral.